This 87-nucleotide ribosomal RNA is filed under the name Trichomonas vaginalis G3. Lineage: Eukaryota; Parabasalia; Trichomonadida; Trichomonadidae. The record is from RNAcentral.
CCACUCCGAACCUGGAAAUUAAGCAGUCGCGGGCCACAUCAGUACUGGGCUGGGCGACUUCCCGGGAACGUGCGGUGCUUGCUUCUU